UUGACCUCGGAUCAGGUAGGAGUUACCCGCUGAACUUAAGCAUAUCAAUAAGCGGAGGAAAAGAAACCAACCGGGAUUGCCUCAGUAACGGCGAGUGAAGCGGCAAGAGCUCAAAUUUGAAAUCUGGCCCCCUCGGGGUCCGAGUUGUAAUUUGCAGAGGAUGCUUCGGGUGCGGUCCCCAUCUAAGUGCCCUGGAACGGGCCGUCAUAGAGGGUGAGAAUCCCGUCUGGGAUGGGCGGCCGCGCCCGUGUGAAGCUCCUUCGACGAGUCGAGUUGUUUGGGAAUGCAGCUCUAAGCGGGUGGUAAAUUUCAUCUAAAGCUAAAUACUGGCCGGAGACCGAUAGCGCACAAGUAGAGUGAUCGAAAGAUGAAAAGCACUUUGAAAAGAGAGUUAAACAGCACGUGAAAUUGUUGAAAGGGAAGCGUUGUCCACCAGACUCGCCCGGGGGGGUUCAGCCGGCACGUGUGCCGGUGUACUCCUCUCCGGGCGGGCCAGCAUCGGUUUGGGCGGCUGGUGAAAGGCCCCGGGAAUGUACCACCCUCCGGGGUGUCUUAUAGCCCGGGGUGCCAUACAGCCAGCCUGGACCGAGGCCCGCGCUUCGGCGGAGGAUGC
RNAcentral lists this ribosomal RNA (613 nucleotides) under Talaromyces minioluteus. Its description in RNAcentral is "eukaryotic LSU rRNA". It matches the Rfam family "Eukaryotic large subunit ribosomal RNA", at positions 1 to 626 of the family's 3401-position model. The record is from RNAcentral. Lineage: Eukaryota; Fungi; Ascomycota; Eurotiomycetes; Eurotiales; Trichocomaceae.